GACUGUAAUGGUCCAGCGGCGAAGUCUCUUGAUUUUCUCGUGCAGGUAUGCUUCUCAGCCACACCCGACCUCGUCAGAUCCCCCUCGCCUGGCGCCCAAUUCGAACGCCGCGGAGGUACGUGUGCUCGCACGGGUAACCUGCGACUGCCACACCGCCCUAAGCAAUGGAGAUGACACUUGAGAGAGGCUUCACUCUGCAGAGAACUCUCCCCCGUCGCGUGGCGAAUUGGAUUACGACCGCGAGGGGCUCGGGUUGGCUGAGCGAGAUGGAGAAGUACGACGCCACAAUU
This 290-nucleotide signal recognition particle RNA is filed under the name Ustilaginoidea virens. RNAcentral describes it as "Fungal signal recognition particle RNA". It matches the Rfam family "Fungal signal recognition particle RNA". Lineage: Eukaryota; Fungi; Ascomycota; Sordariomycetes; Hypocreales; Clavicipitaceae. The record is from Rfam by way of RNAcentral.